GAACAGGACGUCACAGAGGGGUGAGAAUCCCGUGCGAUGAGAUGCCCAAUUCCAUGUAAAGUGCUUUCGAAGAGUCGAGUUGUUUGGGAAUGCAGCUCUAAGUGGGUGGUAAAUUCCAUCUAAAGCUAAAUAUUGGCGAGAGACCGAUAGCGAACAAGUACAGUGAUGGAAAGAUGAAAAGAACUUUGAAAAGAGAGUGAAAAAGUACGUGAAAUUGUUGAAAGGGAAGGGCUUGAGAUCAGACUUGGUAUUUUGCGUUCCCUUCCUUUUUGGUUGGGUUCCUCGCAGUUUACUGGGCCAGCAUCGGUUUGGAUGGUAGGAUAAUGACAUUGGAAUGUAGCUUUACUUCGGUGAAGUGUUAUAGACUUUGUUGAUACUGCCUAUCUAGACCGAGGACUGCGUCUUGACU
RNAcentral lists this ribosomal RNA (409 nucleotides) under Dujonia zeylanoides. Its description in RNAcentral is "eukaryotic LSU rRNA". It matches the Rfam family "Eukaryotic large subunit ribosomal RNA", at positions 193 to 607 of the family's 3401-position model. Lineage: Eukaryota; Fungi; Ascomycota; Pichiomycetes; Serinales; Debaryomycetaceae. The record is from RNAcentral.